UCCGGGCGCCCAACCUCCCACCCGUGACUACCUAACACUGUUGCUUCGGCGGGGAGCCCUCUCGGGGGCGAGCCGCCGGGGACUACUGAACUUCAUGCCUGAGAGUGAUGCAGUCUGAGUCUGAAUAUAAAAUCAGUCAAAACUUUCAACAAUGGAUCUCUUGGUUCCGGCAUCGAUGAAGAACGCAGCGAACUGCGAUAAGUAAUGUGAAUUGCAGAAUUCAGUGAAUCAUCGAGUCUUUGAACGCACAUUGCGCCCCCUGGCAUUCCGGGGGGCAUGCCUGUCCGAGCGUCAUUGCUGCCCAUCAAGCCCGGCUUGUGUGUUGGGUCGUCGUCCCCCCCGGGGGACGGGCCCGAAAGGCAGCGGCGGCACCGUGUCCGGUCCUCGAGCGUAUGGGGCUUUGUCACCCGCUCGAUUAGGGCCGGCCGGGCGCCAGCCGACGUCUCCAACCAUUUUCUUCAGGUUGACCUCGGAUCAGGUAGGGAUACCCGCUGAACUUAA
This 501-nucleotide ribosomal RNA is filed under the name Aspergillus versicolor. RNAcentral describes it as "eukaryotic LSU rRNA". The stretch from base 141 to 294 matches the Rfam family "5.8S ribosomal RNA". The record is from RNAcentral. Lineage: Eukaryota; Fungi; Ascomycota; Eurotiomycetes; Eurotiales; Aspergillaceae.